UUAACACAUGCAAGUCGAGCGAAGCACUUAAGUUCGAUUCUUCGGAUGAAGACUUUCGUGACUGAGCGGCGGACGGGUGAGUAACGCGUGGGUAACCUGCCUCAUACAGGGGGAUAACAGUUAGAAAUGGCUGCUAAUACCGCAUAAGACCACGGUACUGCAUGGUACAGUGGUAAAAACUCCGGUGGUAUGAGAUGGACCCGCGUCUGAUUAGGUAGUUGGUGAGGUAACGGCCCACCAAGCCGACGAUCAGUAGCCGACCUGAGAGGGUGACCGGCCACAUUGGGACUGAGACACGGCCCAGACUCCUACGGGAGGCAGCAGUGGGGAAUAUUGCACAAUGGGCGAAAGCCUGAUGCAGCGACGCCGCGUGAAGGAUGAAGUAUUUCGGUAUGUAAACUUCUAUCAGCAGGGAAGAAAAUGACGGUACCUGACUAAGAAGCCCCGGCUAACUACGUGCCAGCAGCCGCGGUAAUACGUAGGGGGCAAGCGUUAUCCGGAUUUACUGGGUGUAAAGGGAGCGUAGACGGCUGUGCAAGUCUGAAGUGAAAGGCAUGGGCUCAACCUGUGGACUGCUUUGGAAACUGUGCAGCUAGAGUGUCGGAGAGGUAAGUGGAAUUCCUAGUGUAGCGGUGAAAUGCGUAGAUAUUAGGAGGAACACCAGUGGCGAAGGCGGCUUACUGGACGAUGACUGACGUUGAGGCUCGAAAGCGUGGGGAGCAAAC
RNAcentral lists this ribosomal RNA (725 nucleotides) under uncultured Lachnospiraceae bacterium. RNAcentral's name for it is "bacterial SSU rRNA". It matches the Rfam family "Bacterial small subunit ribosomal RNA", at positions 48 to 773 of the family's 1533-position model. The record is from RNAcentral. Lineage: Bacteria; Bacillati; Bacillota; Clostridia; Lachnospirales; Lachnospiraceae.